AAAUAUGAAGCAAUAAUUUGCAAUUAGUUUCGGCCUAAUCUUAGAUGUUAAACCAUCCUUAUUUU
RNAcentral lists this transfer RNA (65 nucleotides) under Ptychoptera scutellaris. Its description in RNAcentral is "tRNA-Arg". Lineage: Eukaryota; Metazoa; Arthropoda; Insecta; Diptera; Ptychopteridae. The record is from RNAcentral.